Molecule: ribosomal RNA, 243 nt
Filed under: uncultured bacterium
Lineage: Bacteria
Description: partial 16S ribosomal RNA
Rfam family: Bacterial small subunit ribosomal RNA
Source: RNAcentral
GAUCCUGGCUCAGGAUGAACGCUGGCGGCGUGCCUAACACAUGCAAGUCGAACGGAGUCGUUUUGGAAAAUCCUUCGGGAUUGGAAUUCUCGACUUAGUGGCGGACGGGUGAGUAACGCGUGAGCAAUCUGCCUUUAAGGAGGGGGAUAACAGUCGGAAACGGCUGCUAAUACCGCAUAAAGCAUUGAAUUCGCAUUGUUUUCGAUGCCAAAGGAGCAAUCCGUCUUUUAGAUGAGCUCGCGU